This 472-nucleotide ribosomal RNA is filed under the name Streptococcus gordonii. RNAcentral's name for it is "bacterial SSU rRNA". It matches the Rfam family "Bacterial small subunit ribosomal RNA", at positions 28 to 474 of the family's 1533-position model. Lineage: Bacteria; Bacillati; Bacillota; Bacilli; Lactobacillales; Streptococcaceae. The record is from RNAcentral.
GACGAACGCUGGCGGCGUGCCUAAUACAUGCAAGUAGAACGCACAGUUUAUACCGUAGCUUGCUACACCAUAAACUGUGAGUUGCGAACGGGUGAGUAACGCGUAGGUAACCUGCCUGGUAGCGGGGGAUAACUAUUGGAAACGAUAGCUAAUACCGCAUAAUAUUAAUUAUUGCAUGAUAAUUGAUUGAAAGAUGCAAUUGCACCACUACCAGAUGGACCUGCGUUGUAUUAGCUAGUAGGUGAGGUAACGGCUCACCUAGGCGACGAUACAUAGCCGACCUGAGAGGGUGAUCGGCCACACUGGGACUGAGACACGGCCCAGACUCCUACGGGAGGCAGCAGUAGGGAAUCUUCGGCAAUGGACGAAAGUCUGACCGAGCAACGCCGCGUGAGUGAAGAAGGUUUUCGGAUCGUAAAGCUCUGUUGUAAGAGAAGAACGGGUGUGAGAGUGGAAAGUUCACACUGUGACG